Molecule: small nuclear RNA, 107 nt
Organism: Gracilinanus agilis (Agile Gracile Mouse Opossum)
Lineage: Eukaryota; Metazoa; Chordata; Mammalia; Didelphimorphia; Didelphidae
Source: RefSeq, a predicted model, not a curated record
GCUCUCCCUUCAGCAGCACAUAUACUAAAAUUGGAAUGAUAUAGAGAAGAUUAGCAUGGCUCCUGUGCAAGGAUGCCAUGAAAAUUCGUAAAGUGUUCCAUAUUUUU